Episyrphus balteatus (marmalade hoverfly) is the source of this 1492-nucleotide long non-coding RNA. RefSeq lists it as uncharacterized. The transcript has 4 exons. The record is from RefSeq and is a predicted model, not a curated record. Lineage: Eukaryota; Metazoa; Arthropoda; Insecta; Diptera; Syrphidae.
CAAACAUCGAGGAAAGCAACACGCGUUUUUUAUUUGCGGUAAUGUAUUCGUGGUUUUCCAAUAAAUUUGUUGGGAAAAAUUUAUUUAAUUAUUUAGCAAUUGUUUUUUUUUAUCAACCCCCAUUUUGAAACUCACAAGAAGGCACGCGCUUUUCAUUUCAUCUUCUUCGUUUGGCGUCUGCAUUCACCAGCUACAAAUCUAAUUGUGUGAAAACCAAGAUAAUAUUCUACUUUGUCGGGCGUUUACCAGCAAUAACUGCUACAUAUACAUAAAUUUACAUCAGCAAGACCAGGCAUAAUUAAAAAUUCCAAGAAAAUUACAAAAAUCGGCUUAACAUUUGGAAAACUACAAAUUUAAACAAUCAUCGGCUAGACAUCUGAAAACCAGCUUCUACAAUCAUCAGCCAAACCAAACUAAUUUAUAUUUUAAGCAGAUAAAAACUGUAAGUAACACCUUUUUGAUAGAUACGAAAAUAAACUUUAUAUUACUAGAUCUAGCCAAAAUUUAAUUUUAUGAAAAUAAUCCUUUUAUUCGAAAUUCUUUCUGGUAUCGUUUUAAAGUAAUAUUUAAAGUGAUAGAUCUGUAUAGCUUAUUUUAAUUUUAAAAGAUACAGGUAAUCAAACUAACAUUAAUUCUUCUACCUAAAAGAUUCCAAAAUAUUUAAAUCAUUUGAAAAAAAACACCAACUACAACAAUCAUUAGCCACAUCAGGCUUAAUAAUUUCCAGCAGAUGAAGGCACGAAGAAACAUCCGUUUGUUAGAAUUUUGUUUUUGUAUCGUUUAAAAGCAAAAUUCUAAACAUUAACUUUGACUUUGAAUAAGUAACUUUUCAUUUUGGUAAUGAAACUGAUUGCUACUUGAGCAAAACUUGUUGCACAUAACACAUUCUUGUCGAUUUAACCUUAAUUAAUUAAAAAAAAAUUAUUUAAAAGCAUAAAGUUGAGCUUAACUUCUUGUUGAAUUCGGUCUUGAUUAAUUUAAAAUUCAUUUUGCUAAAGUAGCUUUCUUUUUUCGAUUUUGUACAUUUUAAAUACUUAAAAUUCAAAGUGAUAGAUCUGUCUUUGUAUAGCUUUUUUGAUUUUCAUUAAUUUUGAGAUGGAAAAUCAAACUUAAAUUAAAUCUCCUACCCAGCAGAAAAUUACAAAAAUUUAACAAUCAUCGGUUAGACAUCUGAAAAACUACCAGCUACUACAAUCAUCAGCCAGAAAAACAAAUUAUUUUUAAAACAGAUAAAAAUAGUAAGUAACACCCUUCUAAAAGAUACGAAAAUAAACUUCGUACUACUCGAACUAGCCAAAACUGAUUUAAUAAAAAGAAGUAGCAUCCGCUUGUUAGAAUUUUGUUUUUAAAGCAAAAUUCUAAACAUUAACUUUGACUUAAAAUAGUUAACUUUUUAUUUUGAUAAUGAAACUGAUUGCUACUUGAGCAAAACUUGUAACACAUAACACAUUAAUCUUAAUUUUAAUAAAAAAUAAUCAUUUAAAAGCAUAUA